This 489-nucleotide ribosomal RNA is filed under the name uncultured bacterium. Its description in RNAcentral is "bacterial SSU rRNA". It matches the Rfam family "Bacterial small subunit ribosomal RNA", at positions 28 to 505 of the family's 1533-position model. The record is from RNAcentral.
GAUGAACGCUAGCGGCAGGCUUAACACAUGCAAGUCGAGGGGCAGCGCGAUGUAGCAAUACAUUGGCGGCGACCGGCGCACGGGUGCGUAACACGUAUGGAAUCUGCCCUGUACUGGAAGAUAACCCGGCGAAAGUCGGACUAAUAUCCCAUAAUAGCCGAGGUGGCAUCACCUUGGUUUGAAAGCUCCGGCGGUACAGGAUGACCAUGCGCACGAUUAGCUAGUUGGUGAGGUAACGGCUCACCAAGGCUACGAUCGUUAGGGGGCCUGAGAGGGUUAUCCCCCACACUGGUACUGAGACACGGACCAGACUCCUACGGGAGGCAGCAGUGAGGAAUAUUGCGCAAUGGAGGCAACUCUGACGCAGCCAUGCCGCGUGCAGGAAGAAGGCGCUACGCGUUGUAAACUGCCUUUAUCCGGGAAGAAAAGUACACCGUUAAUAGCGGUGUGCCCUGACAUUACCCACAGAAUAAGCACCGGCUAACUCCG